UUUAACGGCCGCGGUAUCCUAACCGUGCAAAGGUAGCGUAAUCACUUGUCCCUUAAAUAGGGACCAGUAUGAACGGCUAAAUGAGGAUAAACCUGUCUCCUUUAACAAAUUCAGUGAAACUGAUCUACCAGUACAAAAGCUGGUAUAACCCCAUAAGACGAGAAGACCCUGUGGAGCUUUAAAUUUUAACCAAGCAACUACGCAAGCUCAGCCAAUGGCUAAAAAUUUUAAGUUGGGGCGACUUCGGAAAUAAACCAAACUUCCGAGCAUAAGAUAAUAUCUUACCAAGACCUACAAGUCAAAGCUAAAAUUGACCCAGUACCACUGACAACCGAACCAAGUUACCCCAGGGAUAACAGCGCAAUCUUCUUCAAGAGUCCCUAUCGACAAGAAGGUUUACGACCUCGAUGUUGGAUCAGGACACCCAAAUGGUGCAGCCGCUAUUAAAGGUUC
RNAcentral lists this ribosomal RNA (453 nucleotides) under Sceloporus cautus. RNAcentral's name for it is "partial 16S ribosomal RNA". It matches the Rfam family "Bacterial large subunit ribosomal RNA", at positions 1923 to 2574 of the family's 2925-position model. The record is from RNAcentral. Lineage: Eukaryota; Metazoa; Chordata; Lepidosauria; Squamata; Phrynosomatidae.